RNAcentral lists this ribosomal RNA (939 nucleotides) under Escherichia coli. RNAcentral's name for it is "bacterial LSU rRNA". It matches the Rfam family "Bacterial large subunit ribosomal RNA", at positions 766 to 1704 of the family's 2925-position model. Lineage: Bacteria; Pseudomonadati; Pseudomonadota; Gammaproteobacteria; Enterobacterales; Enterobacteriaceae. The record is from RNAcentral.
CUGGAGGACCGAACCGACUAAUGUUGAAAAAUUAGCGGAUGACUUGUGGCUGGGGGUGAAAGGCCAAUCAAACCGGGAGAUAGCUGGUUCUCCCCGAAAGCUAUUUAGGUAGCGCCUCGUGAAUUCAUCUCCGGGGGUAGAGCACUGUUUCGGCAAGGGGGUCAUCCCGACUUACCAACCCGAUGCAAACUGCGAAUACCGGAGAAUGUUAUCACGGGAGACACACGGCGGGUGCUAACGUCCGUCGUGAAGAGGGAAACAACCCAGACCGCCAGCUAAGGUCCCAAAGUCAUGGUUAAGUGGGAAACGAUGUGGGAAGGCCCAGACAGCCAGGAUGUUGGCUUAGAAGCAGCCAUCAUUUAAAGAAAGCGUAAUAGCUCACUGGUCGAGUCGGCCUGCGCGGAAGAUGUAACGGGGCUAAACCAUGCACCGAAGCUGCGGCAGCGACGCUUAUGCGUUGUUGGGUAGGGGAGCGUUCUGUAAGCCUGUGAAGGUGUGCUGUGAGGCAUGCUGGAGGUAUCAGAAGUGCGAAUGCUGACAUAAGUAACGAUAAAGCGGGUGAAAAGCCCGCUCGCCGGAAGACCAAGGGUUCCUGUCCAACGUUAAUCGGGGCAGGGUGAGUCGACCCCUAAGGCGAGGCCGAAAGGCGUAGUCGAUGGGAAACAGGUUAAUAUUCCUGUACUUGGUGUUACUGCGAAGGGGGGACGGAGAAGGCUAUGUUGGCCGGGCGACGGUUGUCCCGGUUUAAGCGUGUAGGCUGGUUUUCCAGGCAAAUCCGGAAAAUCAAGGCUGAGGCGUGAUGACGAGGCACUACGGUGCUGAAGCAACAAAUGCCCUGCUUCCAGGAAAAGCCUCUAAGCAUCAGGUAACAUCAAAUCGUACCCCAAACCGACACAGGUGGUCAGGUAGAGAAUACCAAGGCGCUUGAGAGAACUCGGG